GAGAAAAUGAGAAGCCAUGAGGCCUUUGGGAGAAUCUUAGGAAAAAAUUCUCUCUCAUCCCCUUGGGAUUCAAAGCUGAGAAGAUGUAAGGACUGGAGCUGCAGCAGUCUUUCUGGGACCAUUAUACAGAGAUUCUGUCUGAGGUUGGAUCCACGUGGUCAAAAGUAUUGCUGAGGAGCCAGAGAGAGACUGAGGUCUGAUGACAUCACUUGAGCCCUGCAGACUUUUCAUUUACGGUGAGGGAAGUGAGGCACAAACAAAAUACAACAAAAACCAGGCCCAGGACAGGUGGGGCCAGCACACUUUGCAGUUUUUGAACGGAUGGUACAGACAGACCCCCCCACAGCAAAGCGCAAGGAACCAAGGGGAACUGACUUUGAAAAAUGAUUUGCAAGAUAACUGAAUGCUCCAAACCAGCAUGAAAGAGUCGACAUGAGACGAAGCUCCAUAUUUUCUCAUUUUCUGCCACGGGAAAAGGCAAGGAUGGCUGCAGAAAGCCUCAGUUGCCAGUUAUUCUCUCCAUGGUUUGAAAUUAUUUUCAUGAGUCUCUGUGUG
RNAcentral lists this long non-coding RNA (555 nucleotides) under Homo sapiens (human). RNAcentral describes it as "HSALNT0002071". Lineage: Eukaryota; Metazoa; Chordata; Mammalia; Primates; Hominidae. The record is from RNAcentral.